Molecule: ribosomal RNA, 448 nt
Filed under: uncultured bacterium
Lineage: Bacteria
Description: bacterial SSU rRNA
Rfam family: Bacterial small subunit ribosomal RNA
Source: RNAcentral
UGGGGAAUCUUGGACAAUGGGCGCAAGCCUGAUCCAGCCAUGCCGCGUGGAUGAUGAAGGCCUUAGGGUUGUAAAAUCCUUUUCGCCGAGGACGAUAAUGACGGUACUCGGAGAAGAAGCUCCGGCUAACUUCGUGCCAGCAGCCGCGGUAAUACGAAGGGGGCUAGCGUUGUUCGGAUUUACUGGGCGUAAAGCGCAUGUAGGCGGGCCGUUAAGUUAGGGGUGAAAUCCCGAGGCUCAACCUCGGAACUGCCUCUAAAACUGGCGGCCUGGACCUAAGUAGAGGCAAGUGGAAUUGCGAGUGUAGAGGUGAAAUUCGUAGAUAUUCGCAGGAACACCAGUGGCGAAGGCGACUUGCUGGACUUAUGGUGACGCUGAGAUGCGAAAGCGUGGGGAGCAAACAGGAUUAGAUACCCACGUAGUCCCUGAGCGGGCUGGCAAGGCGCAU